Daphnia carinata is the source of this 460-nucleotide long non-coding RNA. RefSeq lists it as uncharacterized. The transcript has 4 exons. Lineage: Eukaryota; Metazoa; Arthropoda; Branchiopoda; Diplostraca; Daphniidae. The record is from RefSeq and is a predicted model, not a curated record.
CGUGGAUGGAUAAUAACGCGUGGCUGGAGGAACAAUUGAAAAAUGGAUAAGAUAAUACAACAAAAGGAUAAUCAAAUUAUGAAGCUGCAGGCCCAAUUAUUGGAACAACACAAAAUAUUAGAUAACAGCAAAGCUAAGGAUGCUCAAAUUUGAGUCUACAAGCUCAGCUAGGGGAAAAGAACAAAUUGGAACGGAACAGUUUCCAAACAGUGAAGGAGGUUUUUCCAAACUCAUUCCUAACUGAACAUGAGGAUGAAUUAGCAUUAGGCGAACACAGUCAGUUAUUCAGUCCACCACCUGACAGUGUGUUAAAGUUAAAUUCUCUUAGUGCUGCACUAAAAGAAUUGUUAGUAAUAAGUCCAUGCAGAGACGGAAGUGAACAAUUGUGGGACCGUAUUUGGGCUGAAAAAUGGGUGUGGUAAGGAAACCCAGAAAUAGCACGAGUUCAACAUAAAACAUG